GAAAAUGAGAAAAAAUAAAAGUAAAUGUAAAAAUAAACAUAGGGCAGGGACAACCGGCAGAUCGAGGGAGCUUAAUGUAUGUUUAGGACCGGGCUCAUAUAGAAUAAAGUAUGAUAAGCCUCUUAAAUACCUAGAGUGAGAUAUACAGUGAGAUGGGAUACAUAGGAAUCGCAUGCAUACAUAAGAUAAGAUGGAUGUGCUGGUACUUGGGCAUAUACAUAAUCUGAAUGUGUAAUUAGAACGCUUCAAAAACCAAAAAUCUACAACAUGUGUUGUAAAGACAUGUAUGGGAGAGCGUGAAGAUGGUAUAAUGUAAAAUCCAUGUUGGAGAAAUAUCGGUUAUCAGCGAAAUAGUUCUGUAUGUAUAUAUAUAUAGUGCACUCAAGAACCGGACACGUCUAGAGUAAAAAAA
Long non-coding RNA from Rana temporaria (common frog), 412 nucleotides. RefSeq lists it as uncharacterized. NCBI's taxonomy places the organism in Eukaryota, Metazoa, Chordata, Amphibia, Anura, Ranidae. The transcript has 2 exons. The record is from RefSeq and is a predicted model, not a curated record.